GGAUCCAGACUUUGAUCAUGGCUCACGAUGAACGCUAGCUACAGGCUUAACACGUGCAAGUCGAGGGGAAACGACAUCGAAAGCUUGCUUUUGAUGGGCGUCGACCGGCGCACGGGUGAGUAACGCGUAUCCAACCUGCCCACCACUUGGGGAUAACCUUGCGAAAGUAAGACUAAUACCCAAUGAUAUCUCUAGAUGACAUCUGAAAGAGAUUAAAGAUUUAUCGGUGAUGGAUGGGGAUGCGUCUGAUUAGCUUGUUGGCGGGGUAACGGCCCACCAAGGUAACGAUCAGUAGGGGUUCUGAGAGGAAGGUCCCCCACAUUGGAACUGAGACACGGUCCAAACUCCUACGGGAGGCAGCAGUGAGGAAUAUUGGUCAAUGGGCGAGAGCCUGAACCAGCCAAGUAGCGUGCAGGAUGACGGCCCUAUGGGUUGUAAACAGCUUUUAUAAGGGAAUAAAGUGAGUCUCGUGAGACUUUUUGCAUGUACCUUAUGAAUAAGGACCGGCUAAUUCCGUGCCAGCAGCCGCGGUAAUACGGAAGGUCCGGGCGUUAUCCGGAUUUAUUGGGUUUAAAGGGAGCGUAGGCCGGAGAUUAAGCGUGUUGUGAAAUGUAGACGCUCAACGUCUGCACUGCAGCGCGAACUGGUUUCCUUGAGUACGCACAAAGUGGGCGGAAUUCGUGGUGUAGCGGUGAAAUGCUUAGAUAUCACGAAGAACUCCGAUUGCGAAGGCAGCUCACUGGAGCGCAACUGACGCUGAAGCUCGAAAGUGCGGGUAUCGAACAGGAUUAGAUACCCUGGUAGUCCGCACGGUAAACGAUGGAUGCCCGCUGUUGGUCUGAAUAGGUCAGCGGCCAAGCGAAAGCAUUAAGCAUCCCACCUGGGGAGUACGCCGGCAACGGUGCAACUCAAAGGAAUUGACGG
RNAcentral lists this ribosomal RNA (924 nucleotides) under uncultured Bacteroidota bacterium. RNAcentral's name for it is "bacterial SSU rRNA". It matches the Rfam family "Bacterial small subunit ribosomal RNA", at positions 1 to 916 of the family's 1533-position model. Lineage: Bacteria; Pseudomonadati; Bacteroidota. The record is from RNAcentral.